RNAcentral lists this ribosomal RNA (481 nucleotides) under uncultured bacterium. RNAcentral's name for it is "partial 16S ribosomal RNA". It matches the Rfam family "Bacterial small subunit ribosomal RNA", at positions 28 to 523 of the family's 1533-position model. The record is from RNAcentral.
GACGAACGCUGGCGGCGUGCUCAACACAUGCAAGUCGAACGCUGAAGCCCUUCGGGGUGGAUGAGUGGCGAACGGGUGAGUAACACGUGGGUAAUCUGCCCUGCACUCUGGGAUAAGCCUUGGAAACGGGGUCUAAUACCGGAUAGGACACAUCGCCGCAUGGUGUGUGUGUGGAAAGUUCCGGCGGUGCAGGUUGAGCCCGCGGCCUAUCAGCGUGUUGGUGGGGUGAUGGCCUACCAAGGCGACGACGGGUAGCCGGCCUGAGAGGGUGACCGGCCACACUGGGACUGAGACACGGCCCGGACUCCUACGGGAGGCAGCAGUGGGGAAUCUUGCACAAUGGGCGAAAGCCUGACGCAGCAACGCCGCGUGGGGGAUGACGGCCUUCGGGUUGUAAACCUCUUUCGACCGGGACGAAGGAUUCGUUUGACGGUACCGGUAGAAGAAGCACCGGCUAACUACGUGCCAGCCGCCGCCGUAA